GGAAACAUACAGAAACAAAGAUAUUCUGGUCUCCAAGUAAGACUCAACUAUGUCUAAGUGUGAAUUCCAAGGAAGACUAAUAUGAGGAGAAAUAGCUACAAAGGACAGAAGAGAAAGCUAGAAUUUGGUUUGGCAAUGGAGCACCUGGUUUGUGAGGAUGUACUAGAAGGAUUAAGUUUCUUUAGCUGGAGAAGCAAGUCCAAGAAACUGCAUGGUUUGUUCUCCAUCUCACAGCCAUGGAAAAAGUAUUUCAGCACUUAAAGGUGAUUCUUCAGGCAGCUAUGCUUGUUAGAUUACAUCCAGCAUCUACCACUUCCUAAGCACACAAAUAGCCAUGUGCCUCUUUGAAUUCAGAAAGAAACUUUCAUGUAUUUUACAAGUGUGUGAGAUGUAUAUACUUCUGAAUAAGUGUACAGACAACCAUCUGGUAUUGCUACCAAACCGAUGCAAAAUUCUUUUUUAAAUUCUAUCUUAAACUUAUGAAAGACGAUAACUCCUGCCAGAAAGCUAACUAACUAACUAAAUACAAAAUCUUUUUUUUCCUAUUGACUGACAAAACUGCAAGGGCUGCUUGAAAGAUAAUGCUUCCUAUUUUAUUCUGUUAGUCCACAAUGUCAGAGAUGGAUGUUGGUGGUAUGGCAGUAGAGGUUGAACCUUCCCAACAAUAUUAAAUUAUAUUUUGUUGUCUUGUGAUAGAUGGCAGCUGAGGGACAGUCAGAUAGAAUGGUGCCUGACAUGGAAAUGUGUAUAAAGAAAAUGCAGGCCACUGAAUUCCUCCAUGCAGGAAAAAAUGGCACCUACUAAAAUUCCUUGGUGCUUGAUAUUGAGACUGAACAAUGGAUGCGCGCACAGUGAGGCAGUGGGUGCUAUGUUCCAACAGUGGGUCACCUUUGCUGGUGCAGAUUUUGACAAGCACAGCAUGGCAACUCUUGUUCAUCGCUAGCAAAAAAUGCAUAGUUAAUGGUGGUGACUUGUUGAAUUUGGUGUAUCCAAUAAUGUCAUUGUUCUCUUUGUAUCUGUUAUAGUUUCCACAGAAAUAAAUAGGAGGCAUUACUUUCAGAGCAACCCACAUAUAAUAACAAAAACUACAGUGUAGAUACAACUUCCAAGUACAUCCCAAGCACAUUUUUCUGUUUGAAAACUGAAUAGAUUGUCUAACAUACGUUUUCUCUCUAAAAUAACUAUUUUACUUGUAUCGCUAUUUUGGCAAGCUUUCUUACAAACCUUUUCCAGUGUAAAACAGAACUGAAAUCUUCAUGGAAACAUAAUCUUAAAUAAAAUACUGUUCUGAAAUACUUCACUUUGAAAAUGAAAUGGCACGUAAUUCUUCAAAAGCAUUAUAAUGCUUAUAAAAAAAAUUAUGCCUACAUAAUUCUUACAAAUAUAAACACUGUACAAAGAAAGCAAGGGUCUAAACUCUGAUUAUCAUGUAUGCCUCUGCAUUUCUUUAUAGGGUCGAAUACAUUUAACUCUUAAACCCCAAAAUUAAGAGGAUUAUCUAUACAUGUAUGUGACAGUGUUGCUUGUUGAUGUCCUUUGCUGAGAACAAUUUUCACAGUAUUCUUCAUUCUACGUUAGCCCACUAACACCAUCGUGCUGGACCAGAUCUGAAGCAUUUUUUGCAGGUUAUAUAUGUGCCACAAAUCUAGAGGGACACUAUAAUGUAUAAAUCUUUUACUACUUAUGUGGCACAACAAGCACUUGGUGUUUCUGUUUUUGUAGACUUCACGCAGAGAAAUGAGGCAUGCUGAAUUUAUCCUUUUGCAACCAUCACAUGAGGUGGAAUCAAGUCUCCAAAUGUGCAGGGGACUGGCAAAAUAGCUGAAGGAAUAAAUCUGGAACUGUUAAAUCAUUUAGUGAUCGUUCUAAACUCAAGGUGAUCUCCAUUAGUACAGAAGAAGUUCUCAUAUAUUACUGGAGAAAUUCUUCGAAUCGUAAACUCUCAGGUAUCCCCUGAGACAAAAAAAAAA
Non-coding RNA from Meleagris gallopavo (turkey), 1970 nucleotides. The record is from RefSeq and is a predicted model, not a curated record. NCBI's taxonomy places the organism in Eukaryota, Metazoa, Chordata, Aves, Galliformes, Phasianidae.